UGGGGAAUUUUGGACAAUGGGCGAAAGCCUGAUCCAGCAAUGCCGCGUGUGUGAAGAAGGCCUUCGGGUUGUAAAGCACUUUUGUCCGGAAAGAAAUCCUCUGGGUUAAUACCUCGGGGGGAUGACGGUACCGGAAGAAUAAGCACCGGCUAACUACGUGCCAGCAGCCGCGGUAAUACGUAGGGUGCAAGCGUUAAUCGGAAUUACUGGGCGUAAAGCGUGCGCAGGCGGUUUUGUAAGACGGAUGUGAAAUCCCCGGGCUUAACCUGGGAACUGCAUUCGUGACUGCAAGGCUAGAGUAUGGCAGAGGGGGGUAGAAUUCCGCGUGUAGCAGUGAAAUGCGUAGAGAUGUGGAGGAAUACCGAUGGCGAAGGCAGCCCCCUGGGCCAAUACUGACGCUCAUGCACGAAAGCGUGGGGAGCAAACAGGAUUAGAUACCCUGGUAGUCCACGCCCUAAACGGUGUCAACUAGUUGUUGGGGAUUCAUUUCCUUAGUAACGUAGCUAACGCGUGAAGUUGACCGCCUGGGGAGUACGGUCGCAAGAUUAAAACUUAAAGGAAUUGACGGGGUCAUAGCUGUUUCCU
This 585-nucleotide ribosomal RNA is filed under the name uncultured bacterium. RNAcentral's name for it is "partial 16S ribosomal RNA". It matches the Rfam family "Bacterial small subunit ribosomal RNA", at positions 355 to 1375 of the family's 1533-position model. The record is from RNAcentral.